UCGGCUCCUUGUUAAAUCUAUCAAACAUACCACUAAAAAAAAAAAAUCUUAAAGAAUGAUUAAAUAAAUUUAACCAAGCAGUAGAAGUGGAAUUGAAAUUGGCAGAGUUAGUGCGACGACCCAAUCACCUGUCUCCAAUAACCGCCUCAAAAACUGUCGAAGCCCAUUGGGCACUUGCAAAGCCCAACAGUUGGAGUUCCAGCUCACCCACUAGCCGUUAUUACGCAGGCUAAUUUUUCAACGUGCGAGAAACCAGAUUUCCUUUUUCCCGAAGACUAUUUAGGGAAUUUCCUCUCUUGAGCC
This is a long non-coding RNA of Arabidopsis thaliana (thale cress), 303 nucleotides long. RefSeq annotates it as other RNA. The transcript has a single exon. NCBI's taxonomy places the organism in Eukaryota, Viridiplantae, Streptophyta, Magnoliopsida, Brassicales, Brassicaceae. The record is from RefSeq.